Octopus bimaculoides (California two-spot octopus) is the source of this 2179-nucleotide long non-coding RNA. RefSeq lists it as uncharacterized. The record is from RefSeq and is a predicted model, not a curated record. Lineage: Eukaryota; Metazoa; Mollusca; Cephalopoda; Octopoda; Octopodidae.
UAAAGUAAGUUGUGUGUAUGUGUGUGUGUAUGUGUAUGUGUGUGUGUAUGUGUGUCUGUGUGUGUGCGUGUGUGCAUGUGUGGCCUAUUUUCUGGGGAGGGAUGGUUCGUUCAUUUCAUAAUUUCUCUUUACAAUUCCAUUUUAUUUCUUUCACUUUGAUUAAUAACGGUUGUCUUAAUAACUUUUAAAAUGUCAUUGUGAUAUAUUAGCGUUAAUACAUGUCCACUUGCGCCAGCUGCAGCAGUCUAAGAAGGUCAAAUAAGUAAGCAUGUUUUAAACUCAUCCUUUGUCCACUGUGUUUAUGUGCAUCUAAGGGUAUUUACGAUGUUUCAUAUAGGUUUGUAAUAUAUGCUUGUUGUCUUUAUCAAUUUGUUCGUUGUUACAUUAUAUAUCUAAGACUACAUAUGCAUGCUCUAUUAUAAUAUAUGCAUUACAGGACUUAAUCCCUGUGUGUAUUCUUUAUUCUUUUUACUGAUUCCAGUCAGUUCACAGCAGCCAUACUAGAGCAUCAUCUUCAAGAGUUUUAAUCAAUCAUAUUGACCAAGGAUUUUUCGUCAAAUGGAUAAGUUUAUUGAAUGUAUAAGUUAUGGUUUUUAACCUAAAGGGAUACGAUUGGAGAUGGCUUACACUGGAAAACAUAAAUGCUCACACACACACAAACAAACAAACGAGCAAACACAAACGCAACAGGUUUUGCUCCAAUUUUGCCAAUCUAAUUCAACUUACAAGCUGUUGAUAAACUUCAGUAGAAAGUAAUUCCCCAAGGCGCUGCACUUUGAGAUCGAACACGGAAUCAUGUUGUUAUAAAGCGAAUUUUUUAAACUGCAUUGUCGGACAUAUACUGUUUUUUAUUGAUUUAUUAUGGUUUUAUCAGAGUACCAUUUUAGAGGAUUUCUUAAACAAAUGAGAAGGUAUCCUCCGACCGGAGAGAUGCCCUGAUUGCCUACAAUCAGGAUUCCGUUACUGACAUUCAAAAGCCAGGGAGAGAUGUUAAACUGGGCGAUGGAGUAAGCCUUUGUUUAAAUAGUCUUCUUGGAUCAAUUUUUGAUAAAUAGAAUUCUGUAUCUGCCAUAUAAAAAGAAGACUAUGUAAACAUGUGUACUUAAAAAAAAUUCGUUUUACACGAAUUUUUUAUUUACUGAAGAAUUAAUACUGCAUUAUCUGUCUUAUUAAUACAGAGUGAGGACUGACAGAGACAUCUUACGGGCAAUAUAUCCUACGAUAUUUGGAUCCAUUUACUUUCAAGGUCGACUUUGCUUUACCUCUUUCUGAGAUCAAUAGAGUCUCGUCAACAACUACUGGGUCGCUUUAACAGAUAACAUCUCACCUCCGAAAGACUGACUUUAGAACUGUUAGGUCUUAUAAAUAAGUCUCUGUGCAUCUGUGUGGAUGUGAGUGUGUGUAUGUGUGCUUGCUUGUGUCUUUGUGAAUGUGUGUGUGUGUGUGUGUGUGUGUGUGUGUGUGUGUGUGUGUGUGUGUGUGUGUGUGUGUGUUUGUGUGUGUGUGAUCUCUUCACAAGUGAAUAGUUGAAAACUGAGAGUUAAAACUUCGUCUCGAAAUGUAACUCGAAACGACAAACAAUAAAGAAAGAAAAAAAGAAUGAAGACAAUAUGCAGUUUAAUUUUUGAGUAAACCACCAAAAAGAACAUAAAAGAAACAUACGAAAUAGUUCAUUCAGAUUAAUAUAUCAAUAAGUUAUAUAAAUAUCAACUUCAAUUCGAUUUUAAACAGCAGAAAAGAAACUUUGUAUGAAUCACAUUGUUAUGACAUUAUUACGUCACUGUGACGUAAUAAUUACUUGGAAUUCUCACAGAUUUUAAACAAGUAGGAGACGGUGUUUGAUGCCUUGAGAAGAUCAUCUAAUACAAGUUUAUAUUUGGGACAAUUGACAAUUUCUGGUCCUCAUCAACCAAAAACUGAAUACAAUAAUAGCUUAAAUGUGGAUCGAAAGCAAUCAUAUUGAUAUCAAAUCACAAGUUUUACUUCAUAAGAAGUUACUACUCGCUAAUAUUAUGAACAAAAUGAACCGCAAAUAAGCUUGCAAGCAUGAAAAACCCAGGAAUUAAGGAGUAAUCGCUUUGUUUCGAGAUGUUUUUAUUAUAGUAAACCUCAAAGUUAUUUGAGUGAAACUGCUUUGUAAACAUUAAAAACUGAAUAAAACCAGCUUGUUAUCUCGAUA